Nephila pilipes (giant wood spider) is the source of this 101-nucleotide non-coding RNA. The record is from the annotation of a GenBank genome assembly. NCBI's taxonomy places the organism in Eukaryota, Metazoa, Arthropoda, Arachnida, Araneae, Nephilidae.
CCCGCGGUAGCCUAGUAGGCAUGGCAGCGGACUCGUGACCGGUGGUUCCCUUCGAGUUGUUGGUUCGAGUUUUGAAGUCACUGACGAUCCACCGUGUGGGA